CAAGCUUCAAUGACAACUGAAACUAUAUUUAUAUGGUAUAUGUACAUUUAACGUGUGAAUUUUUUUGGGUCACAUUAAGUGCAAUAUUUUAGUAUAAAAUGGAAAAAAGUGUUUUAUGCCUCAAAAUAUUUGAAUAUAAUAUACACAUUAUGAAAAUAAUUGUAACACCCCAUAUUCGAUCUAAUCGAUGAAUUCGAGAUGUGAAACGCCACAUUCAUUACUAGAGAAACUGUGAAUUCAUUUGCAUGUCUAAAAUGGUAUGUGUUGAAUUGGUUUGGAUAUGGUCAAGGUAUGGUAUGUUUUGGGAUAGUAUUGAUCUAGAUGUGGAUGAUUGAAAUGUGGUAACAUAUACAUGUUUAGGUAGGUUUUGGAUGAAUGUAUUUGAGGUGCCUUGAAUGACAUAUUGGUUGGUUGAUUUAGGACUCUUGAAUUGGUUAUUAUAUGUAUGUUUUGGUAAAGUUUUGAUGUCUUGAUUAUGUGCACAAAAGGCCUAUAGGUGUAUGUAUGAAUUGGUGUUGGAAAUGGCUUGAAUUUUGGGCAAAUUUAUGUCCACACGGCCUGAGAUAUAGGUGUUUGACUCAGCCAUGUGUGACACAUGGCCUGGCGACACGGUUGUGUAUCUCUUGUAGGUUCAUUUGCAUGCAAGUCAAUUAGUUACCUGGCCUAGCACACGACCUGGUAUACAGGCGUGUAGGCUAUUUCAAGAGUUACAUGAGCGUGUGACUCUACUCAAAGAGUUACAGAGGUGAGGACAUGGGCUAGGACUAGGCAUUGUGUCCCUAAUUCGAAGGUUACUUGGCUUGAGACAUGGAUGUUUGUCUCAGCUGUGUGAGGCAAACAGCCUGGCCACAUGACCAUGUGACCCCUGUGUAAUAAGCCCAAUUUGCCCGGGCCCAAAUCACAAAGAAAUAAAAACCAAAAAUAAUUAAAUGUCCCAAAAUGUCCAAUUACAGACCCAAUUACGUGGCCCAAACCACUUUUAACCUAAACUACCCUAACACUAGCCCAACACCUAAUAGCCUGAUGGGCCAACACCUAGCCUAGCAGAGACCAAAAUCAGAAAACCCUAGCAGCUAGGGUAAGCCUCCAGCGCCGCAACUGAGCCAGGCUUCCCCCUCACUCGUGUAGCGCCUCCGAGCCGAGCCACGCCACCACCAGGGACCACGCCUUCUGCCUGCACUCUGCCACAACUCCGUACAUGCGCACCCUCACGCCCGUAUACCUGCAACAACACGCACACAGCAAACAAAAAAUGAACAAAAAGCGAAGAAGGCAAAGAAAAAAGGGAAAUCGAAAGAAAAAUAUAAAAAAAAAGAAAAACAGAAAAAUGGGCGAUUUUUGUAUUUUUCCUUUUGGCUAUAUAAAGCCAUAACGAAAUCUGUAAAGAUAUAGAUGGUAUUACCCACGCAUAUUGUAUCAAAUACACGAAAUCAAUAGAGAAGAAGAAGGUUUUCUUUUCAUCUUUUUCCAUUUUGGUUCUUUUCGAUUGCUUUUUUCUUUUUGUUUUGUUUCCCAUCAAAUAUAUAAGUGUAUAUAGAGCAAAAAAGUAAAGAAAAAGGGAGAAGAAGGAGUGUCUUACCAGAGUAGGCGCCAUCGUAACCUGUUUUGCUCCGUCUGAAUCGGAGUCCGAUCGGGUUUAAGGCUGGAGAGCGGCGCAAAGUUGAGAGGGAGAGCUUAGGUUUUUCUUUCAAAAGGGCAAAUCUGAUUUAGAUUAGGUUUUUUUUAUUAUUUUAUGUUUGUUAUAAAUAAACGACGCCGUUUAAAAGGUGGGAUCCGUU
RNAcentral lists this long non-coding RNA (1778 nucleotides) under Gossypium barbadense (sea-island cotton). Its description in RNAcentral is "long non-coding RNA (GBAR_LNC015480)". Lineage: Eukaryota; Viridiplantae; Streptophyta; Magnoliopsida; Malvales; Malvaceae. The record is from RNAcentral.